RNAcentral lists this ribosomal RNA (142 nucleotides) under Bleptus michinokuensis. RNAcentral's name for it is "partial 12S ribosomal RNA". Lineage: Eukaryota; Metazoa; Arthropoda; Insecta; Ephemeroptera; Heptageniidae. The record is from RNAcentral.
UACAAAGGGGGUAGGAGUAUUUUAUUGGUUUGUAAUUAGUUUUGGGGGUUGAUUGAAGAAGGGUAUUUAUUAGGUGAAAUUUUAAAAUCUCGGUUAAUCAAGGGUAAAAUAAAUGAAGUUGUGAAAUUUGGGUAUAAAACUG